CCCUGUUAUUCUAUAAAAAAAUAUAAUACUUCAAAAAAAAACAAUAUAAUAAAUUUGACGGUAUUAACUUUUACAAAGGAAUUUGUUUCUUAAUCGAAAAUACACGAUAAACCUCACUUAAUUCAUAUUUGUAUACCACCGUACACAGUAAUUAUCAUAAAUUAUUACAAAAAAAAUUAUUUUAAAACAUCAGGUCAAGGUGCAAUUUAACUAAGAUGAAAUGAAUUACAUUAACAUUAAUAUACAUAAAAAUUGAAACAAUUUUUAAAAAUUGAAUUUGUUAGUAAAAUUAAAUCAUAAUGUUUUUUUGAAAACUAAUAUUAAUAUGUACAUAUCGCCCG
Molecule: ribosomal RNA, 341 nt
Filed under: Epiperipatus sp. ony138
Lineage: Eukaryota; Metazoa; Onychophora; Udeonychophora; Euonychophora; Peripatidae
Description: partial small subunit ribosomal RNA
Source: RNAcentral